CUGCAAAUAUUCUCACUGUCCUGAUUGUGUAAUCAUCAAGACAGGCUAAACAUUUGCUAUAAUAAGACGAUGCAUGUCUCCCCAGAUGUAGUUCUUUACCUACUUAGAUCUGGAUUUAGAAAGGAUGGUGAUAAAU
Molecule: small nucleolar RNA, 136 nt
Organism: Suncus etruscus (white-toothed pygmy shrew)
Lineage: Eukaryota; Metazoa; Chordata; Mammalia; Eulipotyphla; Soricidae
Product: small nucleolar RNA SNORA72
Exons: 1
Source: RefSeq, a predicted model, not a curated record